RNAcentral lists this ribosomal RNA (301 nucleotides) under uncultured bacterium. RNAcentral describes it as "partial 16S ribosomal RNA". It matches the Rfam family "Bacterial small subunit ribosomal RNA", at positions 509 to 807 of the family's 1533-position model. The record is from RNAcentral.
CAGUCGCCGCGGGAAUACGUAGGGUGCAAGCGUUAAUCGGAAUUACUGGGCGUAAAGCGUGCGCAGGCGGUUAUAUAAGUCAGAUGUGAAAUCCCCGAGCUCAACCUGGGAACUGCAUUUGAGACUGUAUGGCUAGAGUGUGUCAGAGGGGGGUAGAAUUCCACGUGUAGCAGUGAAAUGCGUAGAUAUGUGGAGGAAUACCGAUGGCGAAGGCAGCCCCCUGGGAUAACACUGACGCUCAUGCACGAAAGCGUGGGGAGCAAACAGGAUUAGAUACCCCUGUAGUCCCUGUCUCUUAUAC